Molecule: ribosomal RNA, 372 nt
Filed under: uncultured bacterium
Lineage: Bacteria
Description: bacterial SSU rRNA
Rfam family: Bacterial small subunit ribosomal RNA
Source: RNAcentral
GUAGGGACCAAGCGUUGUUCGGAUUUACUGGGCGUAAAGGGCGCGUAGGCGGCGUGUUAAGUCAGCUGUGAAAUCUCCGAGCUUAACUCGGAACGGUCAGCUGAUACUGAUGUGCUAGAGUGCAGAAGGGGCAAUCGGAAUUCUUGGUGUAGCGGUGAAAUGCGUAGAUAUCAAGAGGAACACCUGAGGUGAAGACGGGUUGCUGGGCUGACACUGACGCUGAGGCGCGAAAGCCAGGGGAGCAAACGGGAUUAGAUACCCCGGUAGUCCUGGCCCUAAACGAUGAAUACUUGGUGUCUGGAGUUAUUAUUGCUCCGGGUGCCGUCGCUAACGUUUUUAGUAUUCCGCCUGGGGAGUACGCACGCAAGUGUG